RNAcentral lists this ribosomal RNA (459 nucleotides) under uncultured bacterium. Its description in RNAcentral is "partial 16S ribosomal RNA". It matches the Rfam family "Bacterial small subunit ribosomal RNA", at positions 338 to 795 of the family's 1533-position model. The record is from RNAcentral.
CCUACGGGUGGCAGCAGUGAGGAAUAUUGGUCAAUGGGCGCGAGCCUGAACCAGCCAAGUAGCGUGAAGGAUGACGGCCCUACGGGUUGUAAACUUCUUUUAUAAAGGAAUAAAGUGAGGCACGUGUGCCUUUUUGUAUGUCCUUUAUGAAUAAGGAUCGGCUAACUCCGUGCCAGCAGCCGCGGUAAUCCGGAGGUACCGAGGUUUAUCCGGGUUUAUUGGGUUUAAAGGGUGCGUAGGGGGAGCGUUAGGUCAGGGGUCAAAUGGAGGGUCUAAACCCCUUCCCGCCAUUGAAACUGGCGCGCUGGAGUGGAAGAGAAGUAUGCGGAAUGCGUGGUGUAGCGGUGAAAUGCAUAGAUAUCACGCAGAACCCCGAUUGCGAAGGCAGCAUACCGGCUUCCGACUGACGUUGAAGCACGAAAGCGUGGGGAUCGAACAGGAUUAGAUACCCGUGUAGUC